Molecule: ribosomal RNA, 485 nt
Filed under: uncultured bacterium
Lineage: Bacteria
Description: partial 16S ribosomal RNA
Rfam family: Bacterial small subunit ribosomal RNA
Source: RNAcentral
AGUGAACGCUGGCGGCGUGCUUAACACAUGCAAGUCGAACGAGAACGGAAUAUAGCUUGCUAUAUUUGUCAGCUAAGUGGCGCACGGGUGAGUAAUGUAUAGAUAACCUGCCCUUAAGAAAGGAAUAACAGUUGGAAACGACUGCUAAUGCCCUAUAUGCCUUUAAUACAUAAGUAAGCAAGGGAAACGCUUUAGUGCUUAAGGAUGGGUCCGUAUGGUAUCAGCUUGUUGGUGAGGUAAUGGCUCACCAAGGCUAUGACGCCUAACUGGUUUGAGAGGAUGAUCAGUCACACUGGAACUGAGACACGGUCCAGACUCCUACGGGAGGCAGCAGUGGGGAAUAUUGCACAAUGGACGAAAGUCUGAUGCAGCAACGCCGCGUGGAGGAUGACACAUUUCGGUGCGUAAACUCCUUUUAUAUAGGAAGAUAAUGACGGUACUAUAUGAAUAAGCACCGGCUAACUCCGUGCCAGCAGCCGCGGUAA